Molecule: long non-coding RNA, 1572 nt
Filed under: Panax ginseng (ginseng)
Lineage: Eukaryota; Viridiplantae; Streptophyta; Magnoliopsida; Apiales; Araliaceae
Description: long non-coding RNA (PGIN_LNC015559)
Source: RNAcentral
AAAUAACCAAACAAUGAAUUACAAUUUGAAAAAUACGACGAAGAUUUUACUUCUAUUAUUUAUUUUGCUAUGAAGACGAUAACCUUGGAAUAGGUAGGAUUUGACCAUGUGAUCUCCCUUUAUUAUGGGGACAAAAGGAGUUGGCAUUUAGUAACAUAAAAAAAAAAAUCAUAUUUUUCAAAAAUUAGUUGAGAAAAAUGAGGGGACUGUUAGCGAAAGAGUCUAAGAUUUACAACACACGUCUCAUCAACAACACAACACUAAGUUUUUUAAAAUUAAACUUCAGAUCAAAACUAAUAGCAAGCUAAAAUAGCAAUAUUGAACCAAUCAUGAUACAAUAAAAAUAAAAAUAAGUCUUACAGAUCGAAGGUCACAGUAAGAAUCAGUUUCCUCUAUUGGGUCGGUUUCUUCUUCGCCGUGGUGUGCUUUUUAUUCGUACUAAUUUCCAAUGAUAAAAGGCAAUUUGAAUUAAUUAGCAUGCCAAGUGUGUUCAUACUUCAUAUAAUGUUCUUCCAAGUAGCCUUUAUAUAUAUACCGAAGAUUACAGAAAUUUACCUUUUUGUAAUUAAUUAGACGUGUUGGCUUGAGAAACAACUAAAAAAUCUUGAGCAUAAAAAAUCCAAGCCCAUGACAGGCUAAUAAUUAAAAUCUAUAAUCAAGCAAGAAAACUUCAAGAUGAUCUAAGAAAUAAAAUAAACAUGUUAUAUUUUUUUAUCCAAGGCCAAAAAAGAAAAAAGAAGAAGAAGAGAAACCAUACCUAUGCAAUUACUCAAGUCAUAAUAACUAUAGAACUUUAACAUGAUAUGUUUGAAAGGCAACCAUACCUAUGCCAAGUGUUUCAACCUUUAAAAGGGGAAUAGUGGUUCUAUGACAUCGAGACUCUCUUGCAGUCAAGAUGAACCCCACACAUCUCCGCACUUCCACUGAAGGAGACCUCAAUUCUGUCUCCACUUUUCAUUGAGAUUGGUAUCCGUAUAGAAGUCACCCGGCCAUGCAUGAACUCCAGUGGCCGCUGGUACAGAGCCCCUAUACAUGAAUUGACUACCAUCUAUUUUCAUUACUGAUGACAGCUUGAAUCUCAUAUUCAAGUAUGCCUCCAAAAACAACCCAGAGAGCCAUCCUCAAGAAAUUACUUUUAACAUCCCCCGACAUCUGAAAUGAGGUUGAAUAUGUUGUUCUUUGAUGACGGAACCUAUCUCAAAUGUAAACUUCACAAUCAUCAAGUACAGAGCAAUCCUGUUAGGCUGUUACAUAAAGAACAAUUUAAGAAAAAGAAGAAAAUUACAACAACAAAAUGAAAAAAAAGAAAGAAAAAAAAAACCCUUACCUGCAUGACACUCCGUAUGAAAUUUGAUAUCAAAUCGCUACAAUCUGUGAGAAUUAAUGUGCGCAGGUUCGCCGUGGUCUGCUUCUUCUUUGAGUCUGAUCCUGGAUGUUCAGCCUUUGGGUCAGAUUCUUCUUCGCCGUGGCCUGCUUCCAGUUGUUAUUUGAACGAAUUUGAACCCCAAAGUUGAAGAUAAGAUAAAAUUCUAGUUGUUAUUUGAACGAAUUUGAACGCCAAAGUUGAAGAUA